UGGAUACGCACAUCUCCCGCCACAAUGGGAGCUGUAGGCACCCCUCCCCGGUCCCCCCGAGAUCGCUGGCUUCUGCAGGCUGUAUGAGUCCACACCCUCUCCCCACUUAACCCCCAGGCUUCAUCUGAGCAAGCCCAUCGAUGCCCUGGAAAUCUGGCAGAACAGCAGGAACUGAAACUGGAAGAAUCUGAAUAUACAAAGCCUGAAUAGAAUGAAAAAUACGAGCUCAGAUCCACGGCCCGUUUCUCACGGUUCUCUGUGAACAGAAGCAGCUUGUGUGAGCCUCCGUCAAGGAGAAAGAAGGGACGCAGUCAAGGUAACUGGCAGUGGACCCUGUGGCUGGGCUGCCCUCUCCGACUGUCUGGUGAGAGUCCAACGAGCUUCGAAAGAAGAGGAAGCACUUCUUCCCACAGCAGCCUCCCCAGGCCGCGCCCACUGAGGAAAAGGCCCGGACCUGCUAGUGGUGAGAGGAGAGGAGAGCCGAGCGGCACGUGUGGCACCCAUGCUCUGAAACCCCCUCUCUCGGUCCCAUUAAACAAACA
This is a long non-coding RNA of Tachyglossus aculeatus (Australian echidna), 542 nucleotides long. RefSeq lists it as uncharacterized. The transcript is spliced from 4 exons. Lineage: Eukaryota; Metazoa; Chordata; Mammalia; Monotremata; Tachyglossidae. The record is from RefSeq and is a predicted model, not a curated record.